RNAcentral lists this ribosomal RNA (253 nucleotides) under uncultured bacterium. RNAcentral's name for it is "partial 16S ribosomal RNA". It matches the Rfam family "Bacterial small subunit ribosomal RNA", at positions 524 to 776 of the family's 1533-position model. The record is from RNAcentral.
UACGUAGGUGGCAAGCGUUGUCCGGAUUUACUGGGCGUAAAGGGCGUGCAGGCGGUUUGUUAAGGUCCGGGUGAAAGCUCCCGGCUCAACUGGGAGAGGUCCUUGGAUACUGGCAGACUUGAGGAGGGUAGAGGAGAGUGGAAUUCCCGGUGUAGUGGUGAUAUGCGUAGAUAUCGGGAGGAACACCAGUGGCGAAGGCGGCUCUCUGGGCCCUACCUGACGCUGAGACGCGAAAGCGUGGGGAGCGAACCGG